This 253-nucleotide ribosomal RNA is filed under the name uncultured bacterium. RNAcentral's name for it is "partial 16S ribosomal RNA". It matches the Rfam family "Bacterial small subunit ribosomal RNA", at positions 524 to 776 of the family's 1533-position model. The record is from RNAcentral.
UACGGAGGGUGCAAGCGUUAUCCGGAUUUACUGGGUUUAAAGCGUGCGCAGGCGGUGGCUCAAGCCAGGCGUGAAAUCCCCGGGCUUAACCUGGGAAUGGCGUUUGGGACUGGGUCGCUAGAGUGUGGCAGAGGGAGGUGGAAUUCCACGUGUAGCAGUGAAAUGCGUAGAGAUGUGGAGGAACACCGAUGGCGAAGGCAGCCUCCUGGGCCAGCACUGACGCUCAUGCACGAAAGCGUGGGGAGCAAACAGG